GUCGAACGCUGGCGGCGUGCUUAACACAUGCAAGUCGAACGGAAAGGCCCUGCUUUUGUGUGGUGCUCGAGUGGCGAACGUGUGAGUAACACGUGAGUAACCUGCCCUUUACUUUGUGAUAACUUCAGGAAACUGGGGCUAAUACCUGCUAGGUGCUCCUGCUGCAUGGUGGGGGUUGGACAGUUUCGGCGGUUGGGGAUCGACUCGCGGCUUAUCAGCUUGUUGGUGGGGUAGUGGCUUACCAAGGCUUUGACGGGUAGCCGGCCUGAGAGGGUGACCGGCGACAUUGGGACUGAGAUACGGAGCAGACGGCUAAGGGAGGCAGCAGUGGGGAAUAUUGCACAAUGGGCGGAAGCGUGAUGAAGAAACGCCGGGUGCGGGAUGACGGCCUACGGGUGGUAAACCGCUUUCGCCUGUGACGAAGCGUGAGUGACGGUAAUGGGUAAAGAAGCACCGGCUAACUACGUG
Molecule: ribosomal RNA, 468 nt
Filed under: uncultured bacterium
Lineage: Bacteria
Description: partial 16S ribosomal RNA
Rfam family: Bacterial small subunit ribosomal RNA
Source: RNAcentral